GCCUAACACAUGCAAGUCGAGCGGUAACACAAGGGAGCUUGCUCCUGAGGUGACGAGCGGCGGACGGGUGAGUAAUGCCUAGGGAUCUGCCCAGUCGAGGGGGAUAACAGUUGGAAACGACUGCUAAUACCGCAUACGCCCUACGGGGGAAAGGAGGGGACCUUCGGGCCUUCCGCGAUUGGAUGAACCUAGGUGGGAUUAGCUAGUUGGUGAGGUAAUGGCUCACCAAGGCGACGAUCCCUAGCUGUUCUGAGAGGAUGAUCAGCCACACUGGGACUGAGACACGGCCCAGACUCCUACGGGAGGCAGCAGUGGGGAAUAUUGCACAAUGGGGGAAACCCUGAUGCAGCCAUGCCGCGUGUGUGAAGAAGGCCUUCGGGUUGUAAAGCACUUUCAGUAGGGAGGAAAGGUGGUGUGUUAAUAGACUAUUACUGUGACGUUACCUACAGAAGAAGGACCGGCUAACUCCGUGCCAGCAGCCGCGGUAAUACGGAGGGUCCGAGCGUUAAUCGGAAUUACUGGGCGUAAAGCGUGCGCAGGCGGUUUGUUAAGCCAGAUGUGAAAUCCCCGGGCUCAACCUGGGAAUUGCAUUUGGAACUGGCGAACUAGAGUCUUGUA
Molecule: ribosomal RNA, 618 nt
Filed under: Shewanella frigidimarina
Lineage: Bacteria; Pseudomonadati; Pseudomonadota; Gammaproteobacteria; Alteromonadales; Shewanellaceae
Description: bacterial SSU rRNA
Rfam family: Bacterial small subunit ribosomal RNA
Source: RNAcentral